AAUCAUUCGCAAUGGGCGAAAGCCUGACGACGCCCCGCCGUGUGUGUGAUGAAGGCCUUCGGCUCGUAAAGCACUCUCGCCUGGGAACCAGAGAAGCCGGCUAAUAUCCCCCUAAUUUGACGGUCCCAGGUCAAGAAGCCCCGCCUAACUCCCUCCCAGCAGCUGCGGUAAUACGGAGGGUGCAAGCAUUAAUCGGAUUUAUUGGGCGUAAAGGGCGCGGAGGCGGGUUUGUCAGUCAGAUGUGAAAUCCCGAGGCUCAACCUCGGAACAGCAUUUGAAACUUCAAAUCUAGAGGGUAGGCGGAGAGAACGGAAUUCCACAAGUAGCGGUGAAAUGCGUAGAUAUGUGGAAGAACACCUGUGGCGAAAGCGGUUUUCUAGCUUAUACCUGACGCUAAAGCGCGAAAGCAAGGGGAUCAAACAGG
This 424-nucleotide ribosomal RNA is filed under the name uncultured bacterium. Its description in RNAcentral is "partial 16S ribosomal RNA". It matches the Rfam family "Bacterial small subunit ribosomal RNA", at positions 360 to 776 of the family's 1533-position model. The record is from RNAcentral.